This 29-nucleotide small RNA is filed under the name Bombyx mori (domestic silkworm). RNAcentral's name for it is "ovarian small RNA-24578". Lineage: Eukaryota; Metazoa; Arthropoda; Insecta; Lepidoptera; Bombycidae. The record is from RNAcentral.
UCAACAGUAUACCCUUUCUUUGUUAUGGC